UACGAAGGGUGCAAACGUUGCUCGGAAUUAUUGGGCGUAAAGCGCACGUAGGCGGCAUCGCAAGUCCCAUGUGAAAGCCCACGGCUUAACCGUGGAAGUGCAUGGGAAACUGCAGUGCUUGAGUACUUAAGAGGAUCGCGGAAUUCCCGGUGUAGAGGUGAAAUUCGUAGAUAUCGAGAGGAACACCGGUGGCGAAGGCGGCCUUCUGGACAGUGACUGACGCUGAGACGCGAAAGCGUGGGGAGCAAACAGG
RNAcentral lists this ribosomal RNA (253 nucleotides) under uncultured bacterium. Its description in RNAcentral is "partial 16S ribosomal RNA". It matches the Rfam family "Bacterial small subunit ribosomal RNA", at positions 524 to 776 of the family's 1533-position model. The record is from RNAcentral.